AGGGACUUAGGGGAGCAAAUGACUGUUAAUCAUUGGGUCGCUGGUUCGAGCCCAGCAGGCGGAGCCA
Molecule: transfer RNA, 67 nt
Filed under: Halioglobus maricola
Lineage: Bacteria; Pseudomonadati; Pseudomonadota; Gammaproteobacteria; Cellvibrionales; Halieaceae
Description: tRNA-Asn
Source: RNAcentral